UACGGAAGGCAGCAGUGGGGAAUAUUGCACAAUGGGCGCAAGCCUGAUGCAGCCAUGCCGCGUGUAUGAAAAAGGCCUUCGGGUUGUAAAGUACUUUCAGUCGUGAGGAAGGUGUUAAGGUUAAUAACCUUAGCAAUUGACGUUAGCGACAGAAGAAGCACCGGCUAACUCCGUGCCAGCAGCCGCGGUAAUACGGAGGGUGCGAGCGUUAAUCGGAAUUACUGGGCGUAAAGGGCACGCAGGCGGUUAAUUAAGUUGGAUGUGAAAUCCCCGGGCUUAACCUGGGAAUGGCAUUCAAGACUGGUUAGCUAGAGUCUUGUAGAGGGGGUAGAAUUCCAUGUGUAGCGGUGAAAUGCGUAGAGAUGUGGAGGAUACCGGUGGCGAAGGCGGCCCCUGGACAAAGACUGACGCUCAUGUGCGAAAGCUGGGGAGCAAAC
This 437-nucleotide ribosomal RNA is filed under the name uncultured bacterium. Its description in RNAcentral is "bacterial SSU rRNA". It matches the Rfam family "Bacterial small subunit ribosomal RNA", at positions 340 to 773 of the family's 1533-position model. The record is from RNAcentral.